AAGGCAACGUUUAUGCUUUUCCUAAAGGGACAGUGACAGGCUGCUUCUUCAUAGUCUGCAUUUACCCUUGAGCGUUCAUCUCCGCAUCACCUUUCUCUUCUGGGACAGAUUUGUAAAACCAGUUGCAUAUGGUUGUUUACCAGUAACAUAUAUCUAAAUGCACCUGGAAGUUGUUGGAAGUUUCCUAUCCAUGACCGUUAUUCUCAUAACAUAGUCUUCGACCCCAUUGACUUUUAUUAUACGGAAGCAUUUGGCCAGGAUAUUCUUCAAAACAGACGAAAGAAACGACAUGAGGACGUUUAAAGUCGUCUCCAGACCUGGGACGGCACUCAGGAGUGAGAUCCCCCCUUUCACCACCACCCACCUUCACCCUGUCAUUAGUCUGGAACGUGGAGAGAUUAUCAAAGCAGCAGUGAUGCCAUGGUAGCGCCUGGUGGCCAGACAGCGGGUAAAACACGGCAUCUGUGUGGAGGAAGAGGGCUCUGAAUCCCCAUCAUUUCCUUUCUGCAGGUGAAAGAUCUGGACUGCAGGCAGGCCAAUUCAGCACCCAGACUCUUCUACGAUGAAGCCAUGCUGUUGUAAUAGCUGCAGUAUGUGGUUUUGCAUUGUCCUGCUGAAAUACACAAGGCCUUCCCUGAAAUAGACGUCGUCUGGAGGGGAGCAUAUGUUGCUCUAAAACCUCAGCAUUCAUAGUGCCUUCCAAAACAUGUAAGCUGCCCAUACCGUAUGCACUUAUGCACCCCCAUACCAUCAAAGAUGCUGGCUUUUGAACUGAACGCUGAUAACAUGCUGGAAGGUCUCCCUCCUCUUUAGCCUGGAGGACACGGCAUCCGUGAUUUCCAAUAAGAAUGUCAAAUUUGGACUUGUCUGACCAUAGAACACUUUUCCACUUUGAAACAGUCCAUUUUAAAUGAGCCUUGGCCAACAGGACACGAUGGCGCUUCUGGACCAUGUUCACAUAUGGCUUCCUUUUUGCAUGAUAGAGCUUUAGUUGGCAUCUGCAGAUGGCACGGCGGAUUGUGUUUACCGACAGUGGUUUCUGGAAGUAUUCCUGGGCCCAUUUAGUAAUGUCAUUGACACAAUCAUGCUGAUAAGUGAUGCAGUGUCGUCUGAGGGCCUGAAGACCACAGGCAUUCAAUAAAGGUCUUUGGCCUUGUCCCUUACACACAGAGAUUUCUCUGAAUCUUUUGAUGAUGUUACGCACUGUAGAUGAUGAGAUUUGCAAAGCCUUUGCAAUUUGACGUUGAGGAACAUUGUUUUUAAAGUAUUCCACAAUAUUUUUAUGCACUCUUUCACAGAUUGGAGAGCCUCUGCCCAUCUUUACUUCUGGGAGACUCUGCCUCUCUAAGACAUCUCUUUUAUAGCUAUCAAUUAACUUAAUUAGUUGCUAGAUGUUCUCCCAGCUGAAUCUUUUCAAAAUUUCUUGCUUUUUCAGCCAUUUGUUGCCCCCGUGCCAACUUUUUUUAAACCUGUA
Long non-coding RNA from Ctenopharyngodon idella (grass carp), 1474 nucleotides. RefSeq lists it as uncharacterized. The transcript has 4 exons. Lineage: Eukaryota; Metazoa; Chordata; Actinopteri; Cypriniformes; Xenocyprididae. The record is from RefSeq and is a predicted model, not a curated record.